Molecule: small nucleolar RNA, 132 nt
Filed under: Castor canadensis (American beaver)
Lineage: Eukaryota; Metazoa; Chordata; Mammalia; Rodentia; Castoridae
Description: Small nucleolar RNA SNORA51 (ENSCCNG00000006197.1)
Rfam family: Small nucleolar RNA SNORA51
About the family: ACA51 is a member of the H/ACA class of snoRNA that guide the sites of modification of uridines to pseudouridines.
Source: Rfam by way of RNAcentral
AGCCUUCUGGUGCUUACCACAGGCUGUGUUCUUACAUUGACUGUAUAGAAGGAGGAGACAAAGUAAACCUUACCCAUGUACACUUCAGCCCAGGCCCUGUGCUUAGUCUGUAUUGAGAAUGGGGAGACAUGG